GAUUAGAAUUAAAAGCGAAUUUUGUGUAAAUGUCUCAAGAACUGGAGAGUGUAGCGACUUCACAAAUGGGUGGCAGCAUGUGAGAUGCCUGCUAUAUGAAUACCAGAAAUCCUUCUCUAUGCCUCAACCCCCUGUUCUGGGCUGGGCAGACACUUUCAUCCCAUGUGGGAAGCUCCCCUAGGAGCAUACACAGAGCCAGGUGCAGUGUCAGGGGCUGGGUGCCCUGUCCACUGGAUGGGCUCAGCCCCAACCCAAUGACUUGUAUCAGGGUGCUUGCCCAUACCAAUAGCUCCCCCUAAUUCCUAUCAUUCCUCCAACUCUGUAGUCUUUUUGUGCCAAAACUUGAAAGAGCCCAACCCAACAAAACUUUAAAUUGAUUUUGUAACUUGUGGCAUAGUACUUACUAUUUUGCCAGUCUGGCAACAUCCCAUUACUGCCUUGACUGGCUUUCUUCUCUCUCAGGCUGAUCCUGUGUCACAGAGCCACAUAGAUGAGCAGCUACCCAUCGUAGGAUGCACACUCAACCUCCUGCUAGUUUCUGAGCCAAGUCAGCUUGACAGAGGGGUCUGCUAAUGCACAGCCAUCUAGCCAGUAGCCCCUGCUGACUAACAGAUGCUGGCUGGGACAGACGCUCAUCAAAGGCUCGUUGCUGUCGGCGGUUCUGAAGACAGCGGUUCGAUCCAGCUGAAGGACGUCACCUGGCAGAAAGUUGCAGAGUGUGGUGGCCAGUAUCAAGCCACAUUGUCCAGAAACCAUCACAUUAUCUCCAGGUCACUAGUCGCCGGUGCUCGAGCUGAUGGCGUCGUUCAAGGGCUCCACGCUGCCGCCGCCGCCGCGACCAUCCGACUCCUGGGCCCUGUUUCACGGCAGCGUACUGCAGCGCGCUACGCAGCGCUGCUGUGUUAGUGCGGCGAUUGAGACGAAUUCGGCUCGACGCUCCAGCGUUGCGAAACACCCGUGUCUAUGAAGGAUACGCCGAUACGUCCCCCAGCUUCAAGCCCUUCCUGCCCCCCCCCCCCGCCCCGUCCCAACGGUGUUGGCCGAGAUUGGGGUUUGGUAUUGUAACGGGCUCUCCGAUGACGUCCCGCAAUUUGUGUUAUAUAAUUUGACGAUUAUGUCGUAGUCUCAUUCUGUCUCGAUAUGCUAAUAAAUGAUAAAUGGGACGGAGGUUGGAAGUAAGGUGUGAGUGGCUGUAACCGGCAGGUUUUGGCGAGCGCGAUAUUAGUUAUCGUGAGCGCGCCAGCUGCAAUCAAUCGCGCGCUUCUGGCGAGAAAAUACUUGCUCUGGAACCUAGAAGUUUGUCGUGAAAUCUAUGUACCUUUGGAUUGAAUUAUUAGAACAUAAUGUACUUUCGGUGUCCAGCACUGCAGCUCUGGAAACAGAAAUAUGGAUGUUGGCUGUUUGAUGUAGCAAGGGCUAACAAUCCGCGUCAAGAAUCAAAAGCUGUAUGCAAAUUAAAGUGAAUAUAUUUCAAUGAAUUUUUUAAUUUUGUGAUACAAAACAUAAAUGUGUCAACUACUGAUUACACCCGGCUGCAAACACUGUAACGCUUGCAAUGCUGUACGGCAAAUAGAUAAUAUAGAUUCUC
Molecule: long non-coding RNA, 1588 nt
Organism: Amphibalanus amphitrite
Lineage: Eukaryota; Metazoa; Arthropoda; Thecostraca; Balanomorpha; Balanidae
Exons: 3
Source: RefSeq, a predicted model, not a curated record